CCUACGGGUGGCAGCAGUGGGGAAUAUUGGACAAUGGGGGCAACCCUGAUCCAGCCAUGCCGCGUGUGUGAAGAAGGCCCUCGGGUUGUAAAGCACUUUCAGUGAGGAAGAACGCCUGGUGGUUAAUACCCAUCAGGAAAGACAUCACUCACAGAAGAAGCACCGGCUAACUCCGUGCCAGCAGCCGCGGUAAUACGGAGGGUGCGAGCGUUAAUCGGAAUUACUGGGCGUAAAGCGCGCGUAGGUGGCUUGAUAAGCCGGUUGUGAAAGCCCCGGGCUCAACCUGGGAACGGCAUCCGGAACUGUCAAGCUAGAGUGCAGGAGAGGAAGGUAGAAUUCCCGGUGUAGCGGUGAAAUGCGUAGAGAUCGGGAGGAAUACCAGUGGCGAAUGCGGCCUUCUGGACUGACACUGACACUGAGGUGCGAAAGCGUGGGUAGUAAACAGGAUUAGAUACCCUAGUAGUC
RNAcentral lists this ribosomal RNA (465 nucleotides) under Vreelandella stevensii. RNAcentral's name for it is "partial 16S ribosomal RNA". It matches the Rfam family "Bacterial small subunit ribosomal RNA", at positions 338 to 795 of the family's 1533-position model. The record is from RNAcentral. Lineage: Bacteria; Pseudomonadati; Pseudomonadota; Gammaproteobacteria; Oceanospirillales; Halomonadaceae.